Molecule: long non-coding RNA, 1386 nt
Organism: Ctenopharyngodon idella (grass carp)
Lineage: Eukaryota; Metazoa; Chordata; Actinopteri; Cypriniformes; Xenocyprididae
Exons: 2
Source: RefSeq, a predicted model, not a curated record
GGAUUUCAUCAAAAAUAUCUUAAUUUGUGUUCUGAAGAUGAACGAAGGUCUUACGGGUUUGGAACGACAUGAGGGUGAGUAAUUAAUGCCAGAUAUUUCAUUUUUGGGUGAACUAACCCUUUAACUCAACGUCAUGUCAUCCAGGUUUGGAAUGACUUUUUUCUGUGGAUACAAUGAAAGUCAAUAAUGUCCAAAACAACGCCCCAAGUGAACGUUUAUUUUAUGGACCGAAAAGUCAUUUGAAAGGCAGUUUUUUUUUUUUGUUUUUUUUUUAAAUAAUCUUUUGUGUUUUAGAAAACAAAGAAAGUCAUAUGAGUUUGGAACAACAUGAGUACGGUGAGUAAAUGAUGAGUAAAUGAUUCUAGCUACACUAUAUAGUUUUUGACCUUUAAAAAAAUGACUACAGUUCUGAUGCAUGUUUCAGGGAGACUUCAAUGGGCCUGUAACUAUAAUGAGAUUUGGUUUCUGUGUCUUGCUUUCAGCUUCCUGUUUGUGUUGAGUUGGGUGUCCUGACAAAGCCUUUUACUGUAUGUGUGUUUUGGGAGUGGCUGUUGUGAGUCUCUCUUCUCUUUGUACGUUGACAGUUGGUGCAGCACAGCAUCUCUCACGCUGCGAGAUCCUUGUCUUUUUCUUCAGUUUUGAUCUGAUAGGCUGGUAUUUGUUACUCCCAGUGAUUUGUUGUCAUGUGAUGAAGAAAAUCGUGACUGCAUCAUGACCAAACAUGAUCUGUCGUCUCAACCACUCUCUACUUCACUAAAUGUCACUCAGUAUUUGCUUUGGAAACUUCAGCUCAAAGCCAUCUGACCUUUUUUGUUUCCCUUUUAGUCAGGAUUUUUCUUUCACAGAUGUUGUGCAUUGGUGGUGUUCAAUGGCUAUAGGCUGUGUUUAGUGAGCAUUUGUGGAUGUUUGACUGAACUCUUUGUGUUCUGCUAGAUAGGGUUUGUUCUGACUGAGACUGAAUAAUCUUUGUAGGAAAGAAUGUGUGUGUGUGUGUGUGUGUGCGCACCAGGGAGGCAUAAGGGAUGGAAAAGAGGUUUAUUUUAUGAUAUAGUGUUUCAUUUUGAGGACUAGAUAUUGAACUAGAGUUCCUCAGUGUAUUUGUGUUUAGUUAUACUUGAUACUUCCUUUUUUUUGCUAUAUUUUUAGAUUCUUUAGAAGGCGUAGAAGAGCAAAAAUUUGCAUUAAUGGCAUAUAGCAUAUUUAAAGCAAAUACAACAGACAAUGCAAAACAUGACAGUGCCAAAUUUAUGUGCAUGUAUAAAUACAUUAGCAAAUGCUACUACUGGAUAUGAAUGAAGGAAAAAACGACGCUUGACCUCUGUAUUGGCUCAGGGUUUUGUGAGGGUUAAACAAAGAGUAGGUUUUAGUAACAAGUGGAAUUAUAAA